GAUGAAGAACGUAGCGAAAUGCGAUAAGUAAUGUGAAUUGCAGAAUUCAGUGAAUCAUCGAAUCUUUGAACGCACAUUGCGCCCGCCAGUAUUCUGGCGGGCAUGCCUGUUCGAGCGUCAUUUCAACCAUCAAGUCCCCGGCUUGUGUUGGGGACCUGCGGCUGCCGCAGGCCCUGAAAUGCAGUGGCGGGCUCGCUGUCACUCCGAGCGUAGUAGUUACAUCUCGCUCUGGGCGUGCUGCGGGUUCCGGCCGUUAAAAGCCUUAUUUACCCAAGGUUGACCUCGGAUCAGGUAGGAAGACCCGCUGAACUUAAGCAUAUCAAUAAGCGGAGGA
This 334-nucleotide unclassified non-coding RNA is filed under the name soil metagenome. RNAcentral describes it as "partial contains 5.8S ribosomal RNA, internal transcribed spacer 2, and large subunit ribosomal RNA". The stretch from base 1 to 120 matches the Rfam family "5.8S ribosomal RNA", at positions 35 to 154 of the family's 154-position model. The record is from RNAcentral.